ACGGGAGGCAGCAGUGGGGAAUAUUGGGCAAUGGGCGAAAGCCCGACCCAGCAAUGCCGCGUGAAGGAAGAAGGUCUUCGGAUUGUAAACUUCUUUUAUGAGGGACGAAGGAAUUGACGGUACCUCAUGAAUAAGCCACGGCUAACUACGUGCCAGCAGCCGCGGUAAUACGUAGGUGGCAAGCGUUAUCCGGAUUUACUGGGUGUAAAGGGCGCGUAGGCGGGGAAGCAAGUCAGAUGUGAAAUCUAUGGGCUUAACUCAUAAACUGCAUUUGAAACUGUUUCUCUUGAGUGCUGGAGAGGUAGAUGGGAUUCCUAGUGUAGCGGUGAAAUGCGUAGAUAUUAGGAAGAACACCAGUGGCGAAGGCGAUCUACUGGACAGUAACUGACGCUGAGGCGCGAAAGCGUGGGGAGCAAACAGGAUUAGAUACCCUGGUA
Molecule: ribosomal RNA, 437 nt
Filed under: uncultured Oscillospiraceae bacterium
Lineage: Bacteria; Bacillati; Bacillota; Clostridia; Eubacteriales; Oscillospiraceae
Description: bacterial SSU rRNA
Rfam family: Bacterial small subunit ribosomal RNA
Source: RNAcentral